CAAAGAGACCGCAAAACCGUUGGGAGGGAAGCGAAUGCAGCCUGAUGAGUCCGUUCGGGUUCAGGGAGGGUCUGUCGACCAGGGAGUGUUAGUCAGCUCGCGAGAGUGGCUGGCCUUUCUAGGCCGUUGACCCCUCUGCAUUCCCGUCUUGGAUUCGGCCAACAAAAGCAGCUGGAGGCCAAAGAACGUCGGAGGGUAGGUGCCUUUAGCGAUCUCCUGGUCGUUGGAGAACUUAUAGCCUCUGGUCAUUAUUCGGUUUUGCUGCUGAGGGGUUUGUGUGGCCAUUGCACAAGUCAGCGCAGGCCCCCCAUGGGCCGGGUCGUUUCUGGUCGUGUGGGAGUCGCAGCAAGGAACUGUCUGCAGUGCCUGCUGACGGUCUUUCUGCUCGGCCAGGAGGCGGGCCACUACGUGCGCUGGAGUUGUUGGUUUGGGAUGGCUUCAUCCGA
This 446-nucleotide small RNA is filed under the name Stylissa massa. Its description in RNAcentral is "sequence contains 28S rRNA gene". RNAcentral also lists the same sequence under 1 other name. Lineage: Eukaryota; Metazoa; Porifera; Demospongiae; Axinellida; Axinellidae. The record is from RNAcentral.